This 253-nucleotide ribosomal RNA is filed under the name uncultured bacterium. Its description in RNAcentral is "partial 16S ribosomal RNA". It matches the Rfam family "Bacterial small subunit ribosomal RNA", at positions 524 to 776 of the family's 1533-position model. The record is from RNAcentral.
UACGUAGGGUGCAAGCGUUAUCCGGAAUUAUUGGGCGUAAAGCGUGCGCAGGCGGUUUUGUAAGUCUGUCGUGAAAGCCCCGGGCUCAACCUGGGAAUUGCGUUGGAGACUGCAAGGCUAGAAUCUGGCAGAGGGGGGUAGAAUUCCACGUGUAGCAGUGAAAUGCGUAGAGAUGUGGAGGAACACCGAUGGCGAAGGCAGCCCCCUGGGUCAAGAUUGACGCUCAUGCACGAAAGCGUGGGGAGCAAACAGG